UUGUGGUAGCCCCCAAAAUAUUGGGACAUAUAAAAAGAGACAACUCUGUUCUGCAGAGUAGUGUUGACAUUAUAGUUGCACAGGCCCUUUGUUGACUCUAGAUAACCUCGGGACAAUUGCACAUCCCAGUAAUGGCGACUUUGCAUUCGGAUGUCAUCCAUAUCAACUUUCGAUGCCCGUUUCUGCGCCUACCAUGGUGACCACGGGUAACGGGGAAACAGGGUUACAUUUCGUACACGGACCGUGAGAAACGGCUACCACAUGCAAGUAAGGCAGCAGGUGCGCAAAUGACCCACUUCCGACCCGGCAAGGUAGUGACGA
Molecule: non-coding RNA, 321 nt
Organism: Pelobates cultripes (western spadefoot toad)
Lineage: Eukaryota; Metazoa; Chordata; Amphibia; Anura; Pelobatidae
Source: the annotation of a GenBank genome assembly